Molecule: non-coding RNA, 29 nt
Filed under: Rattus norvegicus (Norway rat)
Lineage: Eukaryota; Metazoa; Chordata; Mammalia; Rodentia; Muridae
Source: RNAcentral
UCUUCUCUCAUAGAUCUGCGCUUCACUGG